UGGGGAAUAUUGGACAAUGGGGGCAACCCUGAUCCAGCGAUGCCGCGUGUGUGAAGAAGGCCUUAGGGUUGUAAAGCACUUUAGGUGGGGAAGAAGGGUGUUAGGUGAAUAGCCUAAUGCUUUGACGGUACCCGCAGAAUAAGCACCGGCUAACUCUGUGCCAGCAGCCGCGGUAAUACAGAGGGUGCAAGCGUUAAUCGGAGUUACUGGGCGUAAAGGGCGCGUAGGCGGUUAUACAAGUGAGAUGUGAAAUCCCUGGGCUUAACCUAGGAAGGUCAUCUUAGACUGUGUAACUGGAGUGCAGUAGAGGAUAGUGGAAUUUCCGGUGUAGCGGUGAAAUGCGUAGAGAUCGGAAGGAACAUCAGUGGCGAAGGCGGCUAUCUGGACUGACACUGACGCUGAGGCGCGAAAGCGUGGGGAGCAAACAGG
This 429-nucleotide ribosomal RNA is filed under the name uncultured bacterium. RNAcentral describes it as "bacterial SSU rRNA". It matches the Rfam family "Bacterial small subunit ribosomal RNA", at positions 355 to 776 of the family's 1533-position model. The record is from RNAcentral.